AUGAACGCUGGCGGCGUGCCUAAUACAUGCAAGUCGAGCGAACAGACGAGGAGCUUGCUCCUCUGACGUUAGCGGCGGACGGGUGAGUAACCGGUGGAAAACCUACCUUUAAGCCUGGAAUAACUUGGGGAACCGGGGGCUAAUACCGGUAAUUAUUUUAAACCGAUGGGUUAAUUAGUGAAAACGGGUUUUGCUGUACUUUUUAGAUGGAUCGCGGCGGAUUAGGUAGUUGGUAAGGUAACGGCUUACCAAGGCAACGAUGCGUAGCCGACCUGAGAGGGUGAUCGGCCACACUGGAACUGAGACACGGUCCAGACUCCUACGGGAGGCAGCAGUAGGGAAUCUUCCGCAAUGGGCGAAAGCCUGACGGAGCAACGCCGCGUGAGUGAUGAAGGUCUUCGGAUCGUAAAACUCUGUUAUUAGGGAAGAACAAAUGUGUAAGUAACUAUGCACGUCUUGACGGUACCUAAUCAGAAAGCCACGGCUAACUACGUG
RNAcentral lists this ribosomal RNA (495 nucleotides) under uncultured bacterium. RNAcentral's name for it is "partial 16S ribosomal RNA". It matches the Rfam family "Bacterial small subunit ribosomal RNA", at positions 29 to 507 of the family's 1533-position model. The record is from RNAcentral.